RNAcentral lists this long non-coding RNA (209 nucleotides) under Ananas comosus (pineapple). RNAcentral's name for it is "long non-coding RNA (ACOM_LNC043081)". The record is from RNAcentral. Lineage: Eukaryota; Viridiplantae; Streptophyta; Magnoliopsida; Poales; Bromeliaceae.
CCUGCAAUAAAAUUACUAGAAUUUGACUUUUUUUAACGCUAAUACUAAAAUACAACUUAUUCAACUUCGGAGCGGGUCUAUAUAUGUCUAGAUAUUUUAGUUAUUAAUAUACUCAUUGAGUUCAUUUGAGCGGAUUUGGAAAAUAACUACUCAUAUAUUACCUAUUUAAGAUCGGGUACAGAUCGGAUACGAAUUGAGUAUAAAUUGGG